UCUGGUUGAUCCUGCCAGUAGUCAUAUGCUUGUCUCAAAGAUUAAGCCAUGCAUGUCUAAGUAUAAAUAGUAUACAGUGAAACUGCGAAUGGCUCAUUAAAACAGUUAUAGUUUAUUUGAUAAUUGACAAUUACAUGGAUAACCGUGGUAAUUCUAGAGCUAAUACACGCUUAAACGCCCGACUUUAUGGAAGGGUGGUAUUUAUUAGACUGAAGCCAAUAUUCCUUGUGUCUAUUGCGGUGAUUCAUAAUAACUGAUCGAAUCUCUUUUUGAGAUAAAUCAUUCAAGUUUCUGCCCUAUCAGCUUUCGAUGGUAGUGUAUUGGACUACCAUGGCAGUAACGGGUAACGAAGAAUUAGGGUUCGAUUUCGGAGAGGGAGCAUGAGAAACGGCUACCACAUCUAAGGAAGGCAGCAGGCGCGUAAAUUACCCAAUCCUGACUCAGGGAGGUAGUGACAAGAAAUAGCAAACCGGGAACCUCAUGGUUUCACGGUAUUGCAAUGAGAACAAUUUAAAACCCUUAGCGAGAAUCAAGUGGAGGACAAGUCUGGUGCCAGCACCCGCGGUAAUUCCAGCUCCACUAGCGUAUAUUAAAGUUGUUGCAGUUAAAAAGCUCGUAGUUGAACCUCUGUCUGGGGCUAGUUUUGGCUUUGGUCAGGCUAGUUCUAGGCAUCCGCCUACAAGACUUAGAGGGCAUUCAGUUGUUCACUAGGAGGAGUAGGCAUUUUACUUUGAAAAAAUUAGAGUGUUUAAGGCAGGCAAUCGCCCGCAUAUAUUAGCAUGGAAUAAUAGAAUAGGACACUUUUCCAUUUCGUUGGUUAUUGGAAUCGUGUAAUGAUUAAUAGGGACAGUUGUGGGCAUUUGUAUUUAAUUGUCAGAGGUGAAAUUCUUGGAUUUAUUAAAGACAAACUAACGCGAAAGCAUUUGCCAAGGAUGUUUUCAUUAAUCAAGAACGAAAGUUAGGGGAUCAAAGACGAUCAGAUACCGUCCUAGUCUUAACUAUAAACUAUUCCGACUCAAUGUUUGACUGGCUUAUAUAACCAGUUGAGCGUUGUAUGAGAAAUCAAAGUCUUUAGGUUCUGGGGGGAGUAUGGUUGCAAAGCUGAAACUUAAAGGAAUUGACGGAAGAGCACAACCAGGAGUGGAUUCUGCGGCUUAAUUUGACUCAACACGGGGAAACUUACCAGGUUAAAACAAUAGUGGGAUUGACAGUUUGAGAGCGCUUUCUUGAUUGGUUGGGUGGUGGUGCAUGGCCGUUCUUAGUUGGUGGAGUGAUUUGUCUGCUUAAUUGCGUUAACGAACGAGACCUUAACCUGCUUACUAGACUGGCGAUCAUCAAUCGUUAGCUC
RNAcentral lists this ribosomal RNA (1348 nucleotides) under metagenome. Its description in RNAcentral is "SSU rRNA". It matches the Rfam family "Eukaryotic small subunit ribosomal RNA", at positions 1 to 1383 of the family's 1831-position model. The record is from RNAcentral.